AGAAUCAACGCUGGCGGCGUGCCUAACACAUGCAAGUCGAGCGAGAAAGGGUAGCAAUACCUGAGUAAAGCGGCGCACGGGUGAGUAACACGUGGAUAACCUGCCUCGAAGUGGGGGAUAACACCGGGAAACCGGUGCUAAUACCGCAUACCCUGACGAGAUCUGCGGAUUUUGUCAGUAAAGGAGCAAUUCGCUUUGAGAGGGGUCCGCGGCUGAUUAGCUAGUUGGUGAGGUAAUGGCUCACCAAGGCAUCGAUCAGUAGCCGGUCUGAGAGGACGGUCGGCCACACUGGAACUGAGACACGGUCCAGACUCCUACGGGAGGCAGCAGUGGGAAUUUUGGCAAUGGGGAAACCUGACCAAGCAACGCCGCGUGGAUGAUGAAAUAUCGUUGGUAACGUAAAAUCCUUUACGAACGGGACGAAACCGCAAGGUUGACGGUACCGUAGAAGAAGCCCGGCUAACUCCGACGCCAGCAGCCGC
Molecule: ribosomal RNA, 482 nt
Filed under: uncultured soil bacterium
Lineage: Bacteria
Description: bacterial SSU rRNA
Rfam family: Bacterial small subunit ribosomal RNA
Source: RNAcentral